This 73-nucleotide transfer RNA is filed under the name Solirubrobacterales bacterium. RNAcentral describes it as "tRNA-Lys". It matches the Rfam family "tRNA". From Rfam's summary of the family: Transfer RNA (tRNA) molecules are approximately 80 nucleotides in length. Their secondary structure includes four short double-helical elements and three loops (D, anti-codon, and T loops). The record is from RNAcentral. RNAcentral also lists the same sequence under 1 other name. Lineage: Bacteria; Bacillati; Actinomycetota; Thermoleophilia; Solirubrobacterales.
GGGCCGUUAGCUCAGUUGGUAGAGCAGGAGACUCUUAAUCUCAAGGUCGAAGGUUCGAUCCCUUCACGGCCCA